RNAcentral lists this ribosomal RNA (424 nucleotides) under uncultured bacterium. RNAcentral's name for it is "bacterial SSU rRNA". It matches the Rfam family "Bacterial small subunit ribosomal RNA", at positions 29 to 451 of the family's 1533-position model. The record is from RNAcentral.
AUUGAACGCUGGCGGCGUGCCUAACACAUGCAAGUCGAGCGGUAACAGGUGUGGCAAUACAUGCUGACGAGCGGCGGACGGGUGAGUAACGCUUGGGAAUCUGCCUGUUAGUGGGGGACAACCCGGGGAAACGUCGGGCUAAUACCGCAUACGCACUACGGUGGAAAGCCGGGGACCGCAAGGCCUGGCGCUAACAGAUGAGCCCAAGUCGGAUUAGCUAGUUGGUAGGGUAACGGCCACCAAGGCGACGAUCCGUAACUGGUCUGAGAGGACGACCAGUCACACCGGAAUUGAGACACGGUCCGGACUCCUACGGGAGGCAGCAGUGGGGAAUAUUGGACAAUGGGCGAAAAGCCUGAUCCAGCGACGCCGCGUGGGUGAAGAAGGCCUGCGGGUUGUAAAGCCCUUUCGGUGGGGAAGAAAG